AUGAACGCUGGCGGCGUGCCUAAUACAUGCCGGUCGAGCGAACAGACGAGGAGCUUGCUCCUCUGACGUUAGCGGCGGACGGGUGAGUAACACGUGGAUAACCUACCUAUAAGACUGGGAUAACUUCGGGAAACCGGAGCUAAUACCGGAUAAUAUAUUGAACCGCAUGGUUCAAUAGUGAAAGACGGUUUUGCUGUCACUUAUAGAUGGUUCCGCGCCGCAUUAGCUAGUUGGUAAGGUAACGGCUUACCAAGGCAACGAUGCGUAGCCGACCUGAGAGGGUGAUCGGCCACACUGGAACUGAGACACGGUCCAGACUCCUACGGGAGGCAGCAGUAGGGAAUCUUCCGCAAUGGGCGAAAGCCUGACGGAGCAACGCCGCGUGAGUGAUGAAGGUCUUCGGAUCGUAAAACUCUGUUAUUAGGGAAGAACAAAUGUGUAAGUAACUAUGCACGUCUUGACGGUACCUAAUCAGAAAGCCACGGCUAACUACGUG
RNAcentral lists this ribosomal RNA (496 nucleotides) under uncultured bacterium. RNAcentral describes it as "partial 16S ribosomal RNA". It matches the Rfam family "Bacterial small subunit ribosomal RNA", at positions 29 to 507 of the family's 1533-position model. The record is from RNAcentral.